UACAGAGGGUGCAAGCGUUAAUCGGAAUGACUGGGCGUAAAGGGCGUGUAGGUGGUCUGGUACGUCUGAUGUGAAAGCCCCGGGCUUAACCUGGGAAUGGCGUCAGAUACGGCGAGACUCGAGUCGGACAGAGGGCAGUGGAAUUUCCAGUGUAGCAGUGAAAUGCGUAGAGAUUGGAAAGAACACCAGUGGCGAAGGCGGCUGCCUGGGUCCAGACUGACACUGAGGCGCGAAAGCGUGGGGAGCAAACAGG
This 253-nucleotide ribosomal RNA is filed under the name uncultured bacterium. Its description in RNAcentral is "partial 16S ribosomal RNA". It matches the Rfam family "Bacterial small subunit ribosomal RNA", at positions 524 to 776 of the family's 1533-position model. The record is from RNAcentral.